GGGGAGAGACGGCGCGUGCGCGCUCCCGCAAGAGGGCCUCCGCUGGGACGCGCUCCCGCGGCGGCGGCGGCGCGCGAUGUCGCUCAGAACGCGGUGCCGGGAGAUCUUCUGAGAACCCUGGAGUGUGUACACAUUCCAAAUGAGAGGUCCAUUGACUUUUGCUUCAAGUUAAGAUGUUUUAUAUCUUUACCAUAAAGUGAUUGAUGAUUAGAAGCUGAUGAGAAUUGAUAACACAAGAAGACAAUGCAUUUAGAAGGGGUUUUGAAAACAAACAGCAACAGAAAAAGAGCUGCCAAGGACAUGAGUGAAAAUUCAGCAGACCAGCUAUGAAGGGGUUUUUGGAAGAGAAUGCCAUAUUUGUCCUCUGACUCUGCUCUAGCCACCUCUCCUUCCUCAGUGCACAGAUAUAAUUCACUAUUUUGAUUCUAAUCACCAAACCCUUCUUGCAUGCCUUGGACAAAAGAUUCAGUGACCUUCUUGAUGAAUUACUGUCUCCCAAACUUUUCUGAUUUUAAGAGCUACUUAUUAUAAAUAAAAAUA
Molecule: long non-coding RNA, 540 nt
Organism: Cebus imitator (Panamanian white-faced capuchin)
Lineage: Eukaryota; Metazoa; Chordata; Mammalia; Primates; Cebidae
Exons: 4
Source: RefSeq, a predicted model, not a curated record